Molecule: ribosomal RNA, 253 nt
Filed under: uncultured bacterium
Lineage: Bacteria
Description: partial 16S ribosomal RNA
Rfam family: Bacterial small subunit ribosomal RNA
Source: RNAcentral
UACGUAGGGUGCGAGCGUUGUCCGGAAUUAUUGGGCGUAAAGAGCUUGUAGGCGGUCUGUCGCGUCUGCUGUGAAAGUCCAGGGCUCAACCCUGGAAGGCCGGUGGAAACUGUCGGGCUAGAGUCCGGAAGAGGCGAGUGGAAUUCCCGGUGUAGCGGUGAAAUGCGCAGAUAUCGGGAGGAACACCAAUGGCGAAGGCAGCUCGCUGGGACGGUACUGACGCUGAGACGCGAAAGCGUGGGGAGCAAACAGG